AGAUGAGAAAUCAAAAAUAUUUGUUUAUGUUGAGCCGAAUCAAUACACAAGAAACCAUACUGCUUUACUAGCUGUAAUGCAUGCACAAAUACGGUGUAGAUAAAGCAAGCAUUACCCCGUAUAAACAAUUAAAUUAAAUUAUCAUCACCAAUUAAAUUUGGAUUCAUGUUGGCUUUCUACUUCACAAAAUCGUUACCUGUUUUGUGGCGUGGUUGGAUAACUGGCUCUGUCUAGCGAACCCAACCAGAACUAUGUGGAUUUUCCGUUCAAUUUAAAAAAGACAAUUCACACCGUCUUCAGCCAGAGGCUGCACAGACUGAACACAUUACUUACACUAGACCAGGGUUGUUAAUAGUCAUCGGAGCUGAAGCAUAAUCACUGACAACAACGGCUAAUAAAAAGUUAGCGUCACUGAGUCAGCAGCAGGGAUGGCAAACAUACUUUUUUCUCUUUUCCGUUCAUCGAUACUGGCAGUAAAAUAAAAACAAAACAACGGCAGCACCAAUACUAUCAGACGCCGCGCCGACGGCAGUCAAGCAGACGCUUGAUGGUUUUCGCUUCCCCACGAAAAUAUUUAUGAGCAGUCAUGCUGAGGCGGGUGAUUGCGAAAAAUGUCAAAUAUUUUCAACUGCUAAUAACUCACUUGUUUUAAUAAAUAAUUUAAAUCUAUUUGCAUGAAUAGCUAGAGCACACUCCUAGCUUUGUGUGCAUGUGAAGAAGUUUGUCUAGAAGCGGUUUGAAACGCAGAAAAAUGCGAAAACGGAAGAGACAGAAAUUUUUGUCGUCGUUGUGCUCGAGUACUGGCGCUCUCGCGCUUGGAAACCGUUUCGAGGAAGAAGGCUGCAGGAAGAAAAAUGUUAUGACAUUUAUUUUUCGAACAGUUUGAGUUUGGCUGGGCCUAUGAUGUUCGUGUGGAAAAAUGUCAAAUGUACAGCCGGUAACCGUUUUUUCCAGUACAUUUCUCAUCCCUGGUCAGCAGCUCUUGAAUAUUUUUCUUCAAACACCGUCAGUCAGUUUGCUGGUCGCGACGAAAAAGUUUUACCGUUUCUCUUUAUUGGCAUUUUCGUUGAACUGCUUGCAUCGCCCUGUUAGAACGAACGAAUAAUCAGACUCACGGGAACGGCCGAUCAGAAAAAAAAAAUGCAAAAAUGAAACGCGCUUCCCACCGGAAUCGAACAAAAAACCUUCGGAUUGGCAGCACGACAAUCAUACCAACAGAGCUAAUUCAACAGCUCGGAAGGACCGAGGCUAAAUCAUCAAUAAAAGCUCGACUGGUUCGCCUUUCGUCUGCAGUCAGAUGCCAUGUGAUGGAUGCAUGUUCGUUUUUCGUCGUUGCAAAAGGAGACAAAAGAGAAUGACGAAAACUAUAGUUCCCUGUUUUAUUUUCGGUUCAUCCUCGUCUUGGUUUCUUUGUCGGUCGCUGAUGAUGAUGAAAGUGACGGAGUUUUAUUUGGCGACGAACUUUUUUAGUUUUUCGUCGUUGGUCGGUGACGAAACAGAUGGUUACCAACCCUGCACUAGACAACGGACAACACAGAACACCCAGUGGCCCAGUGGUAAAUUUUUCGUUUGACGAAAAGUUUCCACCGACUGGAGCGGGAAUCGAAUCCACACUCCACUUUUCAACACAAUUUGUGCCAAUGAACUUCAGUCAUUACGUUGUCCAAAAAGAAACCAAUGCUCAAACAUUUUCAUUAGUGUCAAACAGAGUUUUAGUUCAGCACCGCUGCACCGAUGCGUACGCGGAAAUUGCAGAAGACGUCAAUAUUACUGAACAAGAGGAUUCAACAAGAAUGUGCACAAAUUUCGUACAAGAACUUUGAUGUCACUAUACUGGAACUGGCCAAAGGAGGUAUAACUUCUGAAAAAUCUCGAGACGCUUGAGCAAUUCAGGAGUUAAGUUGAAGUCGAUAGAAACCUGCUGAUUUCUCCCAUGGAAAAAAAGUUGGAGUUCUAACAGAUAGUUCUUCUACAGCCCAUAACAACACAAUGCCUGGAGAUCCUAUCACAGGACCCAUAUAGCCGAGGCGGCAAACGCACGGGUAUUCAGCAUGACCAUGCUGAGGGUGGCGGGUUCGAUUCCCGGUCGAUCCAGGAUCUUUACGUAAAGGAAAUCUCCUUGACUUCCUUGGGCAUAGAGUAUCAUCGUGCCUGCCACACGAUAUACACAUGCAAAAUGGUCAUUGGUAGAGGAAGCUCUCAGUUAAUAACUGUGGAAGUGCUCAUAGAACACUAGGCUGAGAAGCAGGCUUUGUCACAGUGAGGACGUUACGCCAAGAAGAAGAAGAAGAUCCUAUCACAAUCAUGCAAGUUGGGGAGACUGUAACGACACUCUCUAAUGUAUUCCAAACAACAGGAGAUCAAAGCUGUUAUCCAUCGUCGUAAAGUUAAAAAAAAAAAUCUUGGCAUCGAUGAAUUGAAAAACAUUAUCCUGGAACAUUUAUCACGGAAGGGGCUAGUUUAACUCUCUAAAAUCUACAAUGCGUUCCUCAAACUAUGGAAACAUGCUCGAGUAAUACCCAUAGCGAAGCUAAACAACCCAACUAACAUUUAUUGUGAAUGUAAACGUCAACAAAGCGUCCUUAAUACGGCUUGAUGCUGAGUUACUGUGUUGUACAUAUGGACGGAAGCUUCUAUGCAAGCCCUAUACCAAUGAAUCUGGCGAACUUAAUCAGCUUGGACAUGCUGUGCGAGAAGCUUCUAUGCCACCAAGACAUAGCUCUUUUCUCUGCUCCUAUGUAACCACUAACUGAAUAACAUCUUGAGAAGGCGCUUUCUCAGCCUUUUCGCGGUUGGUUUAUAAUAGUUAUACGGCAUCCCCAAAUUAAUCGAUUAAAUAUAAUUAGGUUAUGGAUACCGUGACGCAAUACAAGUGAAACUGGAGUUAUCGAUUUUAAAAUUGAAUAAUUAAAGUACUUGCCGCUACUUGGAAUUGAACGUCCGAUCUUCGUAUCCACUGGUCCCGAUUAUGUCCUCGCUGCCACACUGCUAUAGACGAAUUUCGCGCCAACUCGACCAGUGGUUGGCAACACCCUCUCAGAAUCGAAUGAAACUUGGUGGGCAUAAAGACUAGGUUUUUAUAAGCAACUUUGCAUACUUAAAUUUUCGAAAAUUUUCAAGAGUAACAUUUGAAGAGGGCCUAAUUUUUUUUCGAAGAAUUUUUUAAAAUCGAUGUAACUCAAAAAUGACAAGACCUAUAGAAAAGUGUUGUAUGGGGGACUUUUAGAGAAUUGUCCAAGCUUUCAUGAAAAAAUAUUUUAAAAAUUCUAAAUACAUUUUUACACGCUAAAAAAUAUAUUUUUAAAAUUAAAAGUCAAUUUACAGAAAAUGCCCACUUUUUUAUGUUUUGAAAUUUUUUUCCAAGAAAGUCAAUAUUGUUGCCUAACUUUCCUCCGUACAUCACAAGAUGGGCACUUUUAAGGAAAAAAAGUUUUUCUAACAAAAACUUUUUCAUGUUAUUUUUUUUAGCGUGUUGCGCAUUAACUCGUACAGGAUGUAUCAAGAAUCCUUAUACCCAUUUAGUAACACUUAAUGGGCAUUACAACUUUGUUUGAUUGGGUGCCUUCUUUUUCUUGGCGUUGUAUCCCAACUGGAAUAGAACCUGUUUCUCAGCUUGUUUUGAUAUCUGAAUGCUUAAAACAGCAUUCUGUUUGCUGAAAUUGUAUUAUUGUGUGCCUAGAACCAGUGAACUAACAUCAUUAUUAGAAGCGAAUGAUAAAGAAUCGGUUUUAUUUCAACAAUGGCUAACCACUGAUCGGUGCAAUUUGGAAACUAUUACUAAGACUAUAGACGAGUUUAUUCCGUAUUUUGUAGAAAAAGUUGAUAAGCUUAUAACUCAUGAUUUCGUUUAUAAAGAACAAUCCUCAUUUUUGCGGGAUAAAAAAGAAUCUCUUAAACAGGGUGAAGUAUUAACAAUUUAAGACUUUUCAGAAAAUUAUUAAUUUAUCAUUCAAAAUUCAGCUCAAGGUUACCAUUGGAAUAAUUCUCAAGCUACCAUUCACCCCUUUGAAGUGUACUACAGAAAAGAAAAUAAGUUGGAAAACUUGAGCUUUAUAAUAAUAUCUGAAGUACUUACACACGAUACAACAGCAGUUCAGUUAUUUAUAUCAAAACUGCUGGAUUUCAUAAAACAAUCGAUUGAUUUCUCAAAAAUUACUUUCAUGUCAGAUGGAAGCAGCAGCUCAUUAUAAGAACAAAAAAAAAUUGCCAGUUUGUGCAGUUUUCGGUCCAAUUAUGGAUUGGAAGCAGAAUGGCACUUCUUCGCAAAUUCACAUGGCAAAGGUCCAUGUGACGCUGUUGAAGGUACUCUCAAACGAAUGGCAAAAAGAGCAAGUCUUGCUCGAGAUUAUGGAAACACAAUCACAACUCCUCGAGAACUGUAUGACUGGGCAGUUAAACAGUCAGAUAUACAUAUAACAAAAUUAAAUUUCUGCUUUAUUUCAAAUGAAAAAUAUGCAAAAAUGACGGAUGAACUUGAAGAACUAUACACAUACAGUCACGUAAAAACAAUACCUGGUACACAAAAAUUUCAUUCAUUUGUGCCAAUUUCUGAAAAUCAAAUUGAAGCGAAGAAGUUUUCGAAUUCAAAAGAUAAUCCAAAAAAGUUUACUUUGUUUCAGAUAGACCAAAGAUCUAAUAUUCAAAAAACGUUGCAAUAGAUUGUACAAAAGAAAAUAAUUGAAUACACAUAUACAUAUGUACAUAUUUCAUCAAUACACAAGCGUUUUCAUUGAUAUAAAACCCUAAAAGCAAAUUUGUCUUGAGCCCUUUCCAAUAUCAAGCACGUUUUCAAUGUCAAGCACGUUAAGAUAUUAAAAAAGUAUUUGAGCCCAUUAAGUUUUAAUGGAUUGUCAUUAGGAUUCUGGAUACAUUACUGUACGAGUUAAUGCACAACACGCAAAAAAAAAUAAAAUGAAAAAGUUUUUUUUAGAAAUUUUUUUUUCCUUAAAAGUGCCCAUCUUGUGAUGUAUGGAGGAAAGUUAGGCAACUAUAUUGUCUUUCUUGGGAAAAAAAAUUCAAAACAUAAAAAAGUGGACUUUUUCUGUAAAAUGACUUUUAAUUUUGAAAAGAUAUUUUUUAGCGUGUAAAACAUUUUUUUAUAUUUUUUAAAUAUGUUUUCUUGAAAGCUUGGACAAUUCCCUAAAAGUCCCCCAUACAUCGCUUUUUUGUACAACUUAUCAUAUUCGAGUUAUAUUUUUUGUGAAAAAAACGGCUAAUGUGCAACACGCUAAAAAAACUAACAUGAAAAAGUUUUUGUUAGAAAAACUUUUUUUCCUUAAAAGUGCCCAUCUUGUGAUGUAUGGAGGAAAGUUAGGCAACAAUAUUGACUUUCUUGGAAAAAAAUUUCAAAACAUAAAAAAGUGGGCAUUUUCUGUAAAUUGACUUUUAGUUUUAAAAAUAUAUUUUUUAGCGUGUAAAAAUGUAUUUAGUAUUUUUAAAAUAUUUUUUCAUGAAAGCGUGGACAAUUCUCUAAAUGUCACCCAUACAUCACUUUUUUGUACAUCUUAUCAUAUUCGAGUUAUUUUUUGUGAAAAAAAACGGUUAAAGAACUUUGACUCCUUUUAAAUGUUAGUCUAGGUUAAUUUUGAAAAAACAAAAUACGCAAAGUUGCUUGAAAAGGUAAAGUCUUGAAACCUACAAAAUUUCAUAACAUUCUGAGGGGGUGCUGCCAACCCCGAAGACGCAACUCAAAUAAUUUCACAGCACAGAAAUGGAUAGCUGUAAAGAAUUUGUGUAGUAGCUAUAUAUCCCGCUUGAAGUUUGUUUUGACAAUAAUGUUUACAUUCGACAAGCCGUGUUGGUAAACUAACAGUUUCUUUAUUACAGCUUCUAGCUGCAAUGAAAUCGCAUAAUGGCCUUUAAAGCGCUGCUGGUUUGGGGAUUUGUCAGUAUAACGAAUUGUACUGUAUAGUAGCAGCUGUUUUGUUAGUGGGGACUCCUAUUCAAUUUGUUCAAGUUUUCACAUCUUCCGGGAAAUCUCCCAGAGUUGGAAUAGAGUGGAGUAAAGGCAGCCCCAGUAACAAGCAAUGGAUUUCUGAAAACCGAGUUUGGUAGCUGUAUGGUGCUUGUUUUACAGUCGUGUAUUAGCUUAUGAUUUAUAUUUGACUAGCUUCUCUUUUAUUCAGCGUUGACUGCUUUUAUUCUAUGGUU
This is a long non-coding RNA of Aedes albopictus (Asian tiger mosquito), 6150 nucleotides long. RefSeq lists it as uncharacterized. Lineage: Eukaryota; Metazoa; Arthropoda; Insecta; Diptera; Culicidae. The transcript is spliced from 2 exons. The record is from RefSeq and is a predicted model, not a curated record.